CCUACGGGUGGCAGCAGUGGGGGAUAUUGCACAAUGGGGGAAACCCUGAUGCAGCGACGCCGCGUGGGCGAAGAAGUAUUUCGGUAUGUAAAGCCCGAUCAGCAGGGAAGAAGAAAUGACGGUAGAUGAGGAAGAAGCACCGGAUAAAUACGUGCCAGCAGCCGCGGUAAUACGGAUGGUGCAAGCGUGAUCCGGAUUUACGGGGUGUAAAGGGAGGGCAGGCGGCACGGCAAGCCUGAUGUGAAAGCCCGUGGCCCAACCGCGGGAGUGCAUUGGGAACUACCGGGCUGGAGUGCCGGAGAGGUAGGCGGAAUUCCUAGUGUAGCGGUGAAAUGCGUAGAUAUCAGGAGGAACACCGGUGGCGAAGGCGGCCUGCUGGACUGCAACUGACGUUGAGGCCCGAAAGCGUGGGGAGCAAACAGGAUUAGAUACCCCAGUAGUC
This 442-nucleotide ribosomal RNA is filed under the name uncultured bacterium. RNAcentral describes it as "partial 16S ribosomal RNA". It matches the Rfam family "Bacterial small subunit ribosomal RNA", at positions 338 to 795 of the family's 1533-position model. The record is from RNAcentral.